Molecule: ribosomal RNA, 809 nt
Filed under: uncultured organism
Description: bacterial SSU rRNA
Rfam family: Bacterial small subunit ribosomal RNA
Source: RNAcentral
UACCCCAGAGACGGGGAUAACGGGUUAGAAACAUCCGCUAAUACCGGAUAGACUUGUCCGGUCAAAGGGACAAGGAAAGGCUCCGGCGCUCUGGGAGGAGCCUGCGGCCCAUCAGCUAGUUGGCGGNGUAACGGCCCACCAAGGCAAAGACGGGUAGGGGGUGUGAGAGCAUGGCCCCCCACAAUGGGACUGGAACACGGCCCAUACUCCUACGGGAGGCAGGAGCAGGGAAUAUUGCACAAUGGACGGAGGUCUGAUGCAGCGACGCCGCGUGGAUGAAGAAGGCCCUCGGGUUGUAAAAUCCUUUACAGGGGGAAGAGGAAGGACGGUACCCCUGGAACAAGUGUCGGCUAACUACGUGCCAGCAGCCGCGGUAAGACGUAGGACACAAGCGUUAUCCGGAUUUACUGGGCGUAAAGCGUCUGCAGGCGGACAGGUAAGUUGGGCGUGAAAGCUCCGGGCCCAACCCGGAGAGGUCGUUCAAUACUGCGUGUCUAGAGGGUGUCAGAGGGGAGUGGAAUUUCCGGAGUAGCGGUAAAAUGCGCAGAGAUCGGAAAGAACACCAAUGGCGAAGGCAGCUCCCUGGGGCAACCCUGACGCUAAGAGACGAAAGCUAGGGGAGCGAACAGGAUUAGAGACCCUGGUAGUCCUAGCCCUAAACGAUGGAUGCUGGAUGUGGGGCCAUAGCGCUCCGUGUCGAAGCGAACGCGUUAAGCAUCCCGGCUGGGGACUACGGGCGCGAGGUUUAAAGUCAGACGAAUUGACGGGAACCCGCACAAGCAGCGGAGCGUGUGGUUAAUUCGAUGCUA